AUACGGAGGGUCCGAGCGUUAUCCGGAAUCAUUGGGUUUAAAGGGUCCGUAGGCGGGAAUCUAAGUCAGUGGUGAAAUCUUGCAGCUCAACUGUAAAAUUGCCAUUGAUACUGGAUUUCUCGAAUUAGUGUGAAGUGGUUAGAAUGUGUAGUGUAGCGGUGAAAUGCAUAGAUAUUACACAGAAUACCAAUUGCGAAGGCAGAUCACUAACACUAUAUUGACGCUAAGGGACGAAAGCGUGGGGAGCGAACAGGAUUAGAUACCCCAGUAGUCC
RNAcentral lists this ribosomal RNA (274 nucleotides) under uncultured bacterium. RNAcentral describes it as "partial 16S ribosomal RNA". It matches the Rfam family "Bacterial small subunit ribosomal RNA", at positions 523 to 796 of the family's 1533-position model. The record is from RNAcentral.